UCCUCGUUAGCUCAGUUGGUAGAGCGCUCCACUGGAAAUAGAUAGAUCCCUCGUUCGAUACCAGGACCAGGCG
Non-coding RNA from Ixodes scapularis (black-legged tick), 73 nucleotides. Lineage: Eukaryota; Metazoa; Arthropoda; Arachnida; Ixodida; Ixodidae. The record is from Rfam.